This 495-nucleotide ribosomal RNA is filed under the name uncultured bacterium. Its description in RNAcentral is "partial 16S ribosomal RNA". It matches the Rfam family "Bacterial small subunit ribosomal RNA", at positions 28 to 507 of the family's 1533-position model. The record is from RNAcentral.
GACGAACGCUGGCGGCGUGCCUAAUACAUGCAAGUCGAACGAUGAAGGCGGAGCUUGCUUCUCUGGAUGAGUUGCGCACGGGUGAGUUACGCGUAGGUAACCUGCCUGGCAGCGGGGGAAAACUAUUGGAAACGAUAUCUAAUACCGCAUAAUAGCAGUUGUUGCAUGACGACUGUUUGAAAGGUGCAAUUGCACUACUACUAGAUGGACCUGCGUUGUAUUAGCUAGUUGGUGGGGUAACGGCUCACCAAGGCGACGAUACAUAACCGACCUGCGAGGGUGAGCGGCCACACUGGGACGGGGACACGGCCCAGACUCCUACGGGAGGCAGCAGUAGGGAAUCUUCGGCAAUGGACGGAAGUCUUACCGAGCAACGCCGCGUGAGUGAAGGAGGUGUUCGGAUCGGAAAGCUCUGUUGUAAGAGAAGAACGAGUGUGAGAAUGGAAAGUUCACACAGUGACGGUACCUUACCAGAAAGCGACGGCUAACUACGUG